AGACGAACCGUACGAACGUUAUUCGGAAUCACUGGGCUUAAAGAGUGCGUAGGCGGCUUGGCAGGUGGGGUGUGAAAUCCCUCGGCUCAACCGAGGAACUGCGCUCCAAACCGUCAGGCUCGAGGGAGAUAGAGGUGAGCGGAACUGAUGGUGGAGCGGUGAAAUGCGUUGAUAUCAUCAGGAACACCCGUGGCGAAAGCGGCUCACUGGGUCUCUUCUGACGCUGAGGCACGAAAGCUAGGGUAGCGAACGGGAUUAGAAACCCCAGUAGUCC
RNAcentral lists this ribosomal RNA (274 nucleotides) under uncultured bacterium. RNAcentral describes it as "partial 16S ribosomal RNA". It matches the Rfam family "Bacterial small subunit ribosomal RNA", at positions 523 to 796 of the family's 1533-position model. The record is from RNAcentral.